Molecule: long non-coding RNA, 236 nt
Filed under: Lathyrus oleraceus (garden pea)
Lineage: Eukaryota; Viridiplantae; Streptophyta; Magnoliopsida; Fabales; Fabaceae
Description: Pisum sativum (pea) long non-coding RNA (PSAT_LNC020440)
Source: RNAcentral
AAUUUUGGGGUAUGACAACAGCCCCUAUUUAAUCUUCUCGGACCUGAAGGUAUGAAUAGAAAGGACUUUUAAACAUACACGGUAGGAGAGGAUUUAAUACUAAAAUAACCAAGAAUUUGCCCACAGGGAAUGAAUGAAAUGAAUGAGAUGUAAGGUAGGGGUAUUUAUGGAAAGUUGUUCGAUGGAAGACGUAUAAGCUUUCGUAUAUGGUUAUUCAUUAGGGAUCAACUGACAUG